GACUCGAGAGGUGCAAAGCGAACUUUUUUUCUGCUAAAUACAUUAGAACCGCCGAAUAUAAGCACAUUUAAUUAUUGGAAACUAUGCGCGCACUACGACCUACGCCAUGCAAUCAACUAUGUACUACCACCCCGCCCCCUUUCCAACUAUGUACAAACUUUAAUUAUUAUUUAAUUUCAUUUUAAAGCUGACAACCUUCAUUGAGCUGUUUCCGUAUAUGGCAGCAAAAAGCCAAUGCAUUUUCAGAACGACACAAUAAGCGUUUGUUUGUCAUCCAAACGACCGCGUAACUGGCGCUGACGCAUCGCGUUCUUCAAAGAAAACCCACACACACUGGCAGCCCAGCCAGCCAAGCCAAGUCUCAAAAGCCAACAAGUUUGCGUAAGCAUCAUCAACAACCGAGUGGCACGAAGCUUGAGUGGCUGCGUUUGGUUCUCCUUUAAGUUGUUUUUUUUUUUUUUUUUUAGAUGCUGUGACAUACAAUAUGCGCGCUAUAGAAUUGCAAUGCGAAUAGAGAUUGGAUUUUAUGUGUGGGCGGUCCGUAGAGCGCUGUGCCAGCCACCGAGUACUUGCACAUACAUAUAUUUACGUAUGUAGGUACUUAUACAUGAUUAGAUAUUUAUGUAAGUAGCUGAAAUGAUAUGCCUUCUAAGCGCCUUCUUCCAUCAACAUUGCGGAAAUGAAAGACUACAGUAUUUUGUUUUUAUUUAAUU
RNAcentral lists this long non-coding RNA (713 nucleotides) under Rhagoletis pomonella (apple maggot). RNAcentral describes it as "uncharacterized LOC118751147, transcript variant X2". Lineage: Eukaryota; Metazoa; Arthropoda; Insecta; Diptera; Tephritidae. The record is from RNAcentral.